This 236-nucleotide ribosomal RNA is filed under the name Pseudoalteromonas sp. RNAcentral's name for it is "partial 16S ribosomal RNA". It matches the Rfam family "Bacterial small subunit ribosomal RNA", at positions 800 to 1035 of the family's 1533-position model. Lineage: Bacteria; Pseudomonadati; Pseudomonadota; Gammaproteobacteria; Alteromonadales; Pseudoalteromonadaceae. The record is from RNAcentral.
CCGUAAACGAUGUCAACUAGCCGUUGGGAGCCUUGAGCUCUUAGUGGCGCAGCUAACGCAUUAAGUUGACCGCCUGGGGAGUACGGCCGCAAGGUUAAAACUCAAAUGAAUUGACGGGGGCCCGCACAAGCGGUGGAGCAUGUGGUUUAAUUCGAAGCAACGCGAAGAACCUUACCAGGCCUUGACAUCCAAUGAACUUUCUAGAGAUAGAUUGGUGCCUUCGGGAACAUUGAGAC